RNAcentral lists this ribosomal RNA (207 nucleotides) under uncultured bacterium. RNAcentral describes it as "partial 16S ribosomal RNA". It matches the Rfam family "Bacterial small subunit ribosomal RNA", at positions 568 to 774 of the family's 1533-position model. The record is from RNAcentral.
CGCGCAGGCGGCUGGCCAAGUCCGAUGUGAAAUCUCCCGGCUCAACUGGGAAACUGCAUCGGAAACUGACCGGCUUGAAGGUGGGAGAGGGUAGUGGAAUUCCCGGUGUAGUGGUGAAAUGCGUAGAUAUCGGGAGGAACACCAGUGGCGAAGGCGACUACCUGGCCCAUUCUUGACGCUGAGGCGCGAAAGCUAGGGGAGCGAACG